RNAcentral lists this ribosomal RNA (239 nucleotides) under uncultured Lactobacillus sp. RNAcentral's name for it is "partial 16S ribosomal RNA". It matches the Rfam family "Bacterial small subunit ribosomal RNA", at positions 125 to 356 of the family's 1533-position model. The record is from RNAcentral. Lineage: Bacteria; Bacillati; Bacillota; Bacilli; Lactobacillales; Lactobacillaceae.
CCGUAGCCCAAGAGAUCGGGAUAACACCUGGAAACAGAUGCUAAUACCGGAUAACAACAGAUGAUGCCUAUCAACUGUUUAAAAGAUGGUUCUGCUAUCACUCUUGGAUGGACCUGCGGUGCAUUAGCUAGUUGGUAAGGCAACGGCUUACCAAGGCAAUGAUGCAUAGCCGAGUUGAGAGACUGAUCGGCCACAUUGGGACUGAGACACGGCCCAAACUCCUACGGGAGGCAGCAGUG